GACGAACGCUGGCGGCGUGCCUAAUACAUGCAAGUAGAACGCUGAAGAGAGGAGCUUGCUCUUCUUGGAUGAGUUGCGAACGGGUGAGUAACGCGUAGGUAACCUGCCUGGUAGCGGGGGAUAACUAUUGGAAACGAUAGCUAAUACCGCAUAAAAUUGAUUAUUGCAUGAUAAUUAAUUGAAAGAUGCAAUUGCAUCACUACCAGAUGGACCUGCGUUGUAUUAGCUAGUUGGUGAGGUAACGGCUCACCAAGGCGACGAUACAUAGCCGACCUGAGAGGGUGAUCGGCCACACUGGGACUGAGACACGGCCCAGACUCCUACGGGAGGCAGCAGUAGGGAAUCUUCGGCAAUGGGGGGAACCCUGACCGAGCAACGCCGCGUGAGUGAAGAAGGUUUUCGGAUCGUAAAGCUCUGUUGUAAGAGAAGAACGGGUGUGAGAGUGGAAAGUUCACACUGUGACGGUAUCUUACCAGAAAGGGACGGCUAACUACGUGCCAGCAGCCGCGGUAAUACGUAGGUCCCGAGCGUUGUCCGGAUUUAUUGGGCGUAAAGCGAGCGCAGGCGGUUAGAUAAGUCUGAAGUUAAAGGCUGUGGCUUAACCAUAGUAUGCUUUGGAAACUGUUUAACUUGAGUGCAGAAGGGGAGAGUGGAAUUCCAUGUGUAGCGGUGAAAUGCGUAGAUAUAUGGAGGAACACCGGUGGCGAAAGCAGCUCUCUGGUCUGUAACUGACGCUGAGGCUCGAAAGCGUGGGGAGCAGACAGGAUUAGAUACCCUGGUAGUCCACGCCGUAAACGAUGAGUGCUAGGUGUUAGGCCCUUUCCGGGGCUUAGUGCCGCAGCUAACGCAUUAAGCACUCCGCCUGGGGAGUACGACCGCAAGGUUGAAACUCAAAGGAAUUGACGGGGGCCCGCACAAGCGGUGGAGCAUGUGGUUUAAUUCGAAGCAACGCGAAGAACCUUACCAGGUCUUGACAUCCCUCUGACCGCUCUAGAGAUAGAGUUUUCCUUCGGGACAGAGGUGGCAGGUGGUGCAUGGUUGUCGUCAGCUCGUGUCGUGAGAUGUUGGGUUAAGUCCCGCAACGAGCGCAACCCCUAUUGUUAGUUGCCAUCAUUGAGUUGGGCACUCUAGCGAGACUGCCGGUAAUAAACCGGAGGAAGGUGGGGAUGACGUCAAAUCAUCAUGCCCCUUAUGACCUGGGCUACACACGUGCUACAAUGGCUGGUACAACGAGUCGCAAGCCGGUGACGGCAAGCUAAUCUCUGAAAGCCAGUCUCAGUUCGGAUUGUAGGCUGCAACUCGCCUACAUGAAGUCGGAAUCGCUAGUAAUCGCGGAUCAGCACGCCGCGGUGAAUACGUUCCCGGGCCU
RNAcentral lists this ribosomal RNA (1369 nucleotides) under uncultured bacterium. Its description in RNAcentral is "bacterial SSU rRNA". It matches the Rfam family "Bacterial small subunit ribosomal RNA", at positions 28 to 1381 of the family's 1533-position model. The record is from RNAcentral.